RNAcentral lists this ribosomal RNA (832 nucleotides) under Nonomuraea sp. IM-6949. RNAcentral's name for it is "bacterial SSU rRNA". It matches the Rfam family "Bacterial small subunit ribosomal RNA", at positions 38 to 889 of the family's 1533-position model. The record is from RNAcentral. Lineage: Bacteria; Bacillati; Actinomycetota; Actinomycetes; Streptosporangiales; Streptosporangiaceae.
GGCGGCGUGCUUAACACAUGCAAGUCGAGCGGAAAGGCCCUUCGGGGGUACUCGAGCGGCGAACGGGUGAGUAACACGUGAGCAACCUGCCCCUGACUCUGGGAUAAGCCCGGGAAACUGGGUCUAAUACCGGAUAUGACCGCCCCUGGCAUCGGGUGGUGGUGGAAAGUUUUUUCGGUUGGGGAUGGGCUCGCGGCCUAUCAGCUUGUUGGUGGGGUAGUGGCCUACCAAGGCGACGACGGGUAGCCGGCCUGAGAGGGCGACCGGCCACACUGGGACUGAGACACGGCCCAGACUCCUACGGGAGGCAGCAGUGGGGAAUAUUGCGCAAUGGGCGGAAGCCUGAGCCAGCGACGCCGCGUGGGGGAUGACGGCCUUCGGGUUGUAAACCUCUUUCAGCAGGGACGAAGUUGACGUGUACCUGCAGAAGAAGCGCCGGCUAACUACGUGCCAGCAGCCGCGGUAAUACGUAGGGCGCAAGCGUUGUCCGGAAUUAUUGGGCGUAAAGAGCUCGUAGGUGGCUGGUCGCGUCUGCCGUGAAAGCCCGCAGCUUAACUGCGGGUCUGCGGUGGAUACGGGCCGGCUAGAGGUAGGUAGGGGCAAGUGGAAUUCCUGGUGUAGCGGUGAAAUGCGCAGAUAUCAGGAGGAACACCGGUGGCGAAGGCGGCUUGCUGGGCCUUACCUGACGCUGAGGAGCGAAAGCGUGGGGAGCGAACAGGAUUAGAUACCCUGGUAGUCCACGCUGUAAACGUUGGGCGCUAGGUGUGGGGGUCUUCCACGAUCUCGUGCCGGAGCUAACGCAUUAAGCGCCCCGCCUGGGGAGUACGGCCGC